RNAcentral lists this unclassified non-coding RNA (273 nucleotides) under uncultured fungus. Its description in RNAcentral is "partial contains small subunit ribosomal RNA, internal transcribed spacer 1, and 5.8S ribosomal RNA". The stretch from base 1 to 73 matches the Rfam family "Eukaryotic small subunit ribosomal RNA", at positions 1759 to 1831 of the family's 1831-position model. The record is from RNAcentral. Lineage: Eukaryota; Fungi.
GCAAACUUGGUCAUUUAGAGGAAGUAAAAGUCGUAACAAGGUUUCCGUAGGUGAACCUGCGGAAGGAUCAUUCAUAAUAAGUGUUCGUUCAAUGGCACUAUAAAUCCAUCCCACCUUGUGUGCAUUGUCGAGAGGGGAGAGGUUUUCCUCUUCCUUCUUUUCAUACACUCGUGUUUUUUCCAUAUCAGUCUAAAACUUUAGAGAAUUAAAAAAACUCGAAAUACAACUUUCAACAACGGAUCUCUUGGCUCUCGCAUCGAUGAAGAACGCAGC